This 479-nucleotide ribosomal RNA is filed under the name uncultured bacterium. RNAcentral describes it as "partial 16S ribosomal RNA". It matches the Rfam family "Bacterial small subunit ribosomal RNA", at positions 28 to 507 of the family's 1533-position model. The record is from RNAcentral.
GAUGAACGCUGGCGGCGUGCUUAACACAUGCAAGUCGAACGAAGCGCUUAAGAUUGAUUCUUCGGAUGACGUCUUUUGUGACUUAGUGGCGGACGGGUGAGUAACGCGUGGGUAACCUGCCUCACACAGGGGGAUAACAGUUAGAAAUGACUGCUAAUACCGCAUAACCCGAUAGGAUCGCAUGAUCCAGACGGAAAAGAUUUAUCGGUGUGAGAUGGACCCGCGUCUGAUUAGCUAGUUGGUGAGGUAACGGCCCACCAAGGCGACGAUCAGUAGCCGGCCUGAGAGGGUGAACGGCGACAUUGGGACUGAGACACGGCCCAAACUCCUACGGGAGGCAGCAGUGGGGAAUAUUGCACAAUGGGGGAAACCCUGAUGCAGCGACGCCGCGUGAGUGAAGAAGUAUUUCGGUAUGUAAAGCUCUAUCAGCAGGGAAGAAAAUGACGGUACCUGACUAAGAAGCCCCGGCUAACUACGUG